AGCUCCAAUAGCGUAUAUUAAAGUUGUUGCAGUUAAAACGCUCGUAGUCGGAUUUCGGGGCGGGCCGACCGGUCUGCCGAUGGGUAUGUACUGGCCGGCGCGUCCUUCCUUCCGGAAAUCGCGCCUUCUCUUGACUGAGCGGGUGCGGGAGACGGAUCGUUUACUUUGAAAAAAUCAGAGUGUUUCAAGCAGGCAGCUCGCUCUUGCAUGGAUUAGCAUGGGAUAAUGAAAUAGGACUUUGGUGUCUAUUUUGUUGGUUUCAAACACCGAAGUAAUGAUGAACAGGGACAGUCGGGGGCACUCGUAUUCCGCCGAGAGAGGUGAAAUUCUCAGACCAGCGGAAGACGAACCACUGCGAAAGCAUUUGCCAGGGAUGUUUUCA
This 382-nucleotide ribosomal RNA is filed under the name uncultured eukaryote. RNAcentral's name for it is "SSU rRNA". It matches the Rfam family "Eukaryotic small subunit ribosomal RNA", at positions 587 to 972 of the family's 1831-position model. The record is from RNAcentral.